Molecule: unclassified non-coding RNA, 301 nt
Filed under: plant metagenome
Description: partial contains 5.8S ribosomal RNA, internal transcribed spacer 2, and large subunit ribosomal RNA
Rfam family: 5.8S ribosomal RNA (bases 1-105)
Source: RNAcentral
GAAAUGCGAUAAGUAGUGUGAAUUGCAGAAUUCAGUGAAUCAUCGAAUCUUUGAACGCACAUUGCGCCCUAUGGUAUUCCGUAGGGCAUGCCUGUUCGAGCGUCAUUUACACCUUCAAGCCUUGCUUGGUGUUGGGUGACUGUGGCCCCUUUGGGGCCACUCGCCUUAAAGUCAUUGGCGGCCGGUUCGUUGGCUUUGUAGCGCAGCACAAUUGCGUCCUCGAAGCCGCUGGACCAGCUCCCAGAAGCUAAUUUUAAAUGUUUGACCUCGAAUCAGGUAGGGAUUCCCGCUGAACUUAAGC